GAAAUGCGAUAAGUAGUGUGAAUUGCAGAAUUCAGUGAAUCAUCGAAUCUUUGAACGCACAUUGCGCCCCUUGGUAUUCCAUGGGGCAUGCCUGUUCGAGCGUCAUUUGUACCUUCAAGCUUUGCUUGGUGUUGGGUGUUUGUCUCGCCUUUGCGUGUAGACUCGCCUUAAAACAACCCCAUUUCUAAGGUUGACCUCGGAUCAGGUAGGGAUACCCACUGAACUUAA
This 228-nucleotide unclassified non-coding RNA is filed under the name uncultured Pleosporales. RNAcentral's name for it is "sequence contains ITS1". The stretch from base 1 to 105 matches the Rfam family "5.8S ribosomal RNA", at positions 50 to 154 of the family's 154-position model. Lineage: Eukaryota; Fungi; Ascomycota; Dothideomycetes; Pleosporales. The record is from RNAcentral.